GUUUCGGUGUGGUGAGUGAAAUGGAGAAGGCUAAACUUUUUCUUCCCACAUGCUCACUUCCUUGCUUGUUCGCUAGCUGCUGCAUCUGGCCCCUCAAGGGUAAAGUCAAGGGGAAAAGGAGAUUGAGAGGAAGGACAGUCUGUGAAUUGGGUCUCACCGUGUUUCCCAGGCUGAAGUACAGUGUUGUGAUAUCAGUUCAUUGCAACUUCUGUCUUCUGAGCUCAAGCAAUCCUCUUGCCUCAGCCUCUCAAGUAGCUGGGACUGACUACAGGCAUGAACCACCACACCUGGCUAAUUUUUUUUGUAUUUUUGUCGAAAAGACAGUUUCGCCAUGUUGUACAGAACUACUUCUCAAAUCACUAUUCACAUCCUGGUAGAAGUCAAGCAAUGAAGAUGGCACAGAAACACAUCCCAAAUACUAUGAUACCAUAAAGUAUACUGUAGCAAUGCAUUGGCACACCCUCAUUUGAACAUUUGUCUCAGAAGAUUUUGACAGAAGAUAAAAUUGUCUGGUUUUUAUUUCAUUGGUUUCAUGAAAAUUUAUUUCACUGGUUUCAUGUCACAGGCCCAUGACUGUAUAAAGAGUCAUAAUCUUUACAAACACAACAAUGACUCACAGCGACAUGUUGCAAAGCUGUAAUCGAAAACACUGAUGUUGAUUUCAGAGGCCAUUAAUGGUGUUAAGAAGGCGCUUUUGUUAACCAAAUAAUUGAAUACUCGUAAUUACUUUUCAGUUCUAGUUCAGUUCUUGACACCAAAACAAGCCAUUUUCUUUACAUAGUGAAUGCAGAACUUGCCAGUAAGAACUUUCAUACUAAACUUCUAUGUAAAACAAAACAUGUCAAAAUCAGUAACUACUUUAAUGGAAUGGUAAAGAAUUUACUUAAACACAAAGGAAUGAAAAUAUCUCUGCAAAUAUGUCUAUUGACUUUUCAAAUUUGGUGACUUCUUUCGAAUUAAUUCCCUUACGUCUGUUCCUCAUCCACAUAAAAAUGACAAAAAUGAAAGAUAAUUUUCCAGCCUAUAAUUAAAUUUCUCCAUUGUUGGU
RNAcentral lists this long non-coding RNA (1048 nucleotides) under Homo sapiens (human). RNAcentral's name for it is "non-protein coding lnc-DTHD1-1:7". Lineage: Eukaryota; Metazoa; Chordata; Mammalia; Primates; Hominidae. The record is from RNAcentral.